This 313-nucleotide long non-coding RNA is filed under the name Elaeis guineensis (African oil palm). RNAcentral describes it as "long non-coding RNA (EGUI_LNC020417)". The record is from RNAcentral. Lineage: Eukaryota; Viridiplantae; Streptophyta; Magnoliopsida; Arecales; Arecaceae.
GUGAAGUCAGUGAGAGGAUUUAUGACUGAUUGGUUGGAUCAGUUUAUGCCUAGUCUUCUUUGAUCUGAUUUGAUAAAAUUAGUAAAAAGAUUAAGAUUAACUAGUCAAGUCUUUUCUCAUCUUUCAUUUCAUCUAAUUAAAUCCUCUAAACUUAUUAGAUCCUUAAAAAAAAAAUAGUUAUGGUGAUAACUAGAUCAUAAUCUCCUAUUAAGUUAGAUGAUAAUGGAUCCAACAGUUUAAAUGAUCACUGGAGGUGCCAUAUGUCUGGUGCUCAUCUCGCUGGUGAAAUUAUCAUAUGUUGAUUUAAUUGUGU